UCUGGUCGCCGCCAUUGCCGCUGUGGUGGCGGCGUUGUUGCUGCUGUUGUUCUCUGCUGCCACUGAGAGUCUCACCGGAGACGAAACCGGGUGGGAGUGGUGUAAGGGGGAGCAUGAGGUGUUGUGGGUGUGCGGUUGCCGGUGAACAGGAAGGCGGAGCUAGAUGAAGAUGAUGAAUUCUAGUGUAUGGAUCUUGAAUUUUGGGGAAAAUUGAAUAUGGAAUAUGGAUCUGUUAUUUGAAGAUGAUGAUGGAUCUGGGUUAUUUGAAGAUGAUGAUGAUAAUUUGAUUUUAUAA
Molecule: long non-coding RNA, 295 nt
Filed under: Helianthus annuus (common sunflower)
Lineage: Eukaryota; Viridiplantae; Streptophyta; Magnoliopsida; Asterales; Asteraceae
Description: hypothetical non coding rna
Source: RNAcentral